UACGUAGGGUGCGAGCGUUAAUCGGAAUUACUGGGCGUAAAGCGUGCGCAGGCGGUUUUGUAAGUCAGAUGUGAAAUCCCCGGGCUCAACCUGGGAACUGCGUUUGAAACUACAAGGCUAGAGUGUAGCAGGAGGGGGUAGAAUUCCACGUGUAGCAGUGAAAUGCGUAGAGAUGUGGAGGAAUACCAAUGGCGAAGGCAGCCCC
RNAcentral lists this ribosomal RNA (205 nucleotides) under uncultured bacterium. RNAcentral describes it as "partial 16S ribosomal RNA". It matches the Rfam family "Bacterial small subunit ribosomal RNA", at positions 524 to 728 of the family's 1533-position model. The record is from RNAcentral.